Molecule: ribosomal RNA, 1255 nt
Filed under: metagenome
Description: bacterial SSU rRNA
Rfam family: Eukaryotic small subunit ribosomal RNA
Source: RNAcentral
UCCUUGAUUGGUGGUAGAAGCGCUUCCGCAUUCAACACAUGCAUAUGCCCCUGUCCGUGGAGGUUACUGUGAACAAAACAGCGUGUCCAAAGCAACCACAUGUCUGGCUGAAUGAUCUAGCAUGGAAUAACAAGGCAUCGACCACUGGAGUCAGCCUUUUUGUUGGUUUUACAUGACCCAGUUGGGCAAUGCAGGGCUUGUGCUUCAUUGAGGUUCUUAGUCAGCUCUACCGAACUGUCUUCCCUCAGUUGGACCUUGUUCCCUAUCGGGAUCAAUGGAAGCCAUCGGGGUGGUAUGUAUUCCGACGUGAGCGGUGAAAUGCUUAGACCGUUGGAAGACAAACGACAGCGAAGGCAUUCCGCCAGAAUGUUUUCAUUAAUCAAGAACGAGAGUGUGGGGAUCGAAGAUGAUCAGAUACCAUCGUAGUCCAUUACCGUAAACUAUGUCAACUCGGCAUUGGGAGUCUGUUCACUUUGAAGACUCUCCCAGCAUCAUCCCCCAAUAACGAGAAAUCCAAGUCUAUGGGUUCAGGGGGGAGUACAGUCGCAAGGCUGAAACUUAAAGGAAUUGACGGAAUGACACCACAAGGCGUGGAGUAUGCGGCUUAAUUUGACCCAACACGGGGAAGCUUACCAGGUCAGACACAGUAAGGAUUGACAGAUUGAGAGCUCUUUCUUGAUCCUAUGGAUGGUGGUGCAUGGCCGUUUCUGGUUCGUGGAGUGAUCUGUCUGCUUAAUUGCGAUAACGAACGAGAUCUCUACCUCUAAAUAGGCGCCGGUCUCGCAUGUAAGUAGGGAUGUGUUGGGGGCCUUCGUGUCCCCUCAUGUCCUGAGAGUGCCGGGAUCGCUUCUUAGACGGACUGUGCAUGUCUUUAAUGCACGGAAGAGGGAGUCAAUAGCAGGUCUGUGAUGCUCCUAGAUGUUCUGGGCUGCACGCGCACUACACUGGCACAGUAAACGAGUUGCACCUGCUUCGGCAGUCCUGCUUAGAAGUGAGCGUGGGAAAUCUUAGAAAACUGUGCCGUGCUGGGGAUAGAUGAUUGCGAUUAUUUGUCUUGAACGAGGAAUGCCUAGUAGAGGUACUUCAUCAGAGUACCUUGAUUGUGUCCCUGCCAUUUGUACACACCGCCCGUCGUUGCUACCGAUUGGCUGUAAAAUAGAGGCCUUAAGAGUCGCUUCCGCAAAGCUUUGCUUUUGAGGUUGUGACAAAUCUGGCCAAUAUUUCAUUGCUAGAGGAAGCAAAAGUCGUAACAAGG